GCUCUCCCUCUUGCUGUGUGCUCUGUGUGCUCCAUGUUCCUCAGUUUCAAUGUAGUUUGAACUUAAUUCUCGAGUUGUUGAUUUUUGCCUCAUCAAAUUGUUUUGUAUUACUUAUUUUCAGAGGUGGGAAGCACAAAUACUUCGUUACUGUGCUGAAGAACAAUUUUCAGCAGAAUGAGUGGAAGCUUCCUCUCCAAAGAGCCUCAGGCAUACCUGCCUCACCCAGAGUCAGACCAGGCUGAGCACAUAGCCGGAUACACGUAGAGUGGAGCUAAGGGGAUGGAUGAUCUUGGUCUUGAGAAUGUGAGCUUGCCUUUUGUCCCGUUUCCCUCGCCUCAUCCUGAACCAGUCUCCGUAGAUGAGUGCCCCUCCCUGAUCAUGGUUCUACCGUCCUGUUAAAAGGGUGCUUUUUCUUCCCCCUGUCGC
This is a long non-coding RNA of Oreochromis aureus, 426 nucleotides long. NCBI's taxonomy places the organism in Eukaryota, Metazoa, Chordata, Actinopteri, Cichliformes, Cichlidae. The record is from Ensembl.